AAACACUACACUCCAAACCUUACACUCUAACCCUAAACCUUAUACCCCAAAUCAUAAAACCCAAAUACUAAUUUUAACAUUUCAAAUUUAAACAUCAAAACUUAAACAUAAACUACUAAUCUAAAAUUUUCAAAUUCUAAAUUACAAAUCGUUGAAUCAUACUUGUAUAGUUAAAAUAGUUUAAUCUUACCAUUUACAUUUAAUAACUUUAACAUUUACUAUGAACCAUAAUUUUAAAUUUUAAUUCUAAGCUCUAUCUAUCUAAACUGUAAACUCCAUUCACUAAACUAUAAACACUAAUCAUGAAAAUAACUAUUAACCAUUAUAUUUUUAUUUUUAACUAAAUAUAAAAUAUAAAACCAAAACUUUAUAUUCCAAGUCUUGUUAAAUAUGGCGAUGGCUAAAGUUUUUUGGAUUAACAUAUUAAUGUACUGCCUUAUUCAAAACCAGACAAUUUAAUAAUAUAAAUUUCUUUAACUUAUCUUAUCCUCUAACUUUCUUCUCAUUGGUCCAAAUGUUAUGGCAAGGAUCAUCAUCUCAACGAUUGAUAAUUUAAAUCAAUGGCCACACUUCACUAUUGCUUUCAUUUUCUUUUCUUCUCUUUUCGUUUCAGAUCUGAGACAUAUUCAUUAUCCCAAGUCCCAACCAUCUCUCUUUGUGCACAUCUUCUGUUCUUCUUUUCUCUACGCCAUUACAAUGUCUUCAUCUCUUUCUUCUAUUCGUCUCCUCCUCUGCCUCUCUCAUCCGUGAAGUCACCAAGAAUCGUGAGGCCUCAUCUCCUCCUCUAUCUCUAUCCUCCAUGAAGUCACCGUGACGCCUCUUUCCUCCAUGACAUCUCUUUUUCAUGACGCCUCUUUUCUUCCUCUGUCGCUCUCCGUGAAGUCUCCGCCCCGAGAAUCUGGGAAAGCUUAGAGAAGACAGAAAAAAGUGGCGUCGGAAAAGACCGAGGAGAAGACGACAGGAGCUACGCCGGAUAUGGUCGAGGAGCUGGCCGGAGAGAAGAGAAACGAAGAGGAUUGGACGGACAUUAGGUUUAAUUUGGCUUUAGCCUUUUUGGUUUAGUUUCUUAAACCACUUUAAUUUGUAAAUGUAAAUCGAUUUAAUUUGAUUAUCAAUUCUCGUUUAAUA
Molecule: long non-coding RNA, 1128 nt
Organism: Brassica napus (rape)
Lineage: Eukaryota; Viridiplantae; Streptophyta; Magnoliopsida; Brassicales; Brassicaceae
Exons: 2
Source: RefSeq, a predicted model, not a curated record